This 107-nucleotide ribosomal RNA is filed under the name uncultured bacterium. Its description in RNAcentral is "partial 16S ribosomal RNA". It matches the Rfam family "Bacterial small subunit ribosomal RNA", at positions 1367 to 1482 of the family's 1533-position model. The record is from RNAcentral.
UACGUUCCCGGGCCUUGUACACACCGCCCGUCAAGCGAUGGAAGUCGGGAGUACCUGAAGUCAAUUACCGCAAGGAGUUGCCUAGGGUAAAACCGAUGACUGGCGCU